Molecule: non-coding RNA, 29 nt
Filed under: Cricetulus griseus (Chinese hamster)
Lineage: Eukaryota; Metazoa; Chordata; Mammalia; Rodentia; Cricetidae
Source: RNAcentral
CCUAGGGAUAAAUUUGGCUGCAGACAUUG